AUUCCCUUUCGUAGCAAGAUCGAACAUAAUACGCCCCCGGUUUGCAACCGGGAAUCCAGGAGAGUUCAUGUAC
This 73-nucleotide small RNA is filed under the name Yokenella regensburgei. RNAcentral describes it as "PyrD leader". It matches the Rfam family "PyrD leader". The record is from RNAcentral. Lineage: Bacteria; Pseudomonadati; Pseudomonadota; Gammaproteobacteria; Enterobacterales; Enterobacteriaceae.